CCUACGGGUGGCAGCAGUGAGGAAUAUUGGUCAAUGGACGAAAGUCUGAACCAGCCAAGUCGCGUGAAGGAUGACUGCCCUAUGAGUUGUAAACUGCUUUUGUAUAAGAGUAAAAUGGUACACGUGUAGUCUUUUGUAUGUACUAUAUGAAUAAGGAUCGGCUAACUCCGUGCCAGCAGCCGCGGUAAUACGGAGGAUCCGAGCGUUAUCCGGAUUUAUUGGGUUUAAAGGGAGCGUAGGUGGAUUGUUAAGUCAGUGGUGAAAGUUUGGGGCUCAACCGUAAAAUUGCAUUUGAUACUGGCAGUCUAGAGUAUAGUAGCGGUAGGCGGAAUGUGUGGUGUAGCGGUGAAAUGCUUAGAGAUCAUGCAGAACUCCGAUUGCGAAGGCAGCUCACCGAACUGCAACUGACAUUGAGGCUCGAAAGUGUGGGGAUCAAACAGGAUUAGAUACCCGGGUAGUC
Molecule: ribosomal RNA, 460 nt
Filed under: uncultured bacterium
Lineage: Bacteria
Description: partial 16S ribosomal RNA
Rfam family: Bacterial small subunit ribosomal RNA
Source: RNAcentral